CAGCAGCCGCGGGAAUACGAAGGGUGCAAGCGUUACUCGGAAUUACUGGGCGUAAAGCGUGCGUAGGUGGUGGUUUAAGUCCGUUGUGAAAGCCCUGGGCUCAACCUGGGAAUUGCAGUGGAUACUGGGUCACUAGAGUGUGGUAGAGGAUAGUGGAAUUUCCGGUGUAGCAGUGAAAUGCGUAGAGAUCGGGAGGAACAUCAGUGGCGAAGGCGGCCAUCUGGGACAACACUGACGCUGAGGCACAAAAGCGUGGGGAGCAAACAGGAUUAGAUACCCGCGUAGUCCCUGUCUCUUAUAC
Molecule: ribosomal RNA, 301 nt
Filed under: uncultured bacterium
Lineage: Bacteria
Description: partial 16S ribosomal RNA
Rfam family: Bacterial small subunit ribosomal RNA
Source: RNAcentral